This 379-nucleotide RNase P RNA is filed under the name Geoanaerobacter pelophilus. RNAcentral's name for it is "RNase P RNA component class A". It matches the Rfam family "Bacterial RNase P class A". From Rfam's summary of the family: Ribonuclease P (RNase P) is a ubiquitous endoribonuclease, found in archaea, bacteria and eukarya as well as chloroplasts and mitochondria. Its best characterised activity is the generation of mature 5'-ends of tRNAs by cleaving the 5'-leader elements of precursor-tRNAs. Lineage: Bacteria; Pseudomonadati; Thermodesulfobacteriota; Desulfuromonadia; Geobacterales; Geobacteraceae. The record is from RNAcentral.
CGAAGCAGAACAGAUGAUCGCCGCCUCUUAGAGGGGGAGGAAAGUCCGGGCUCCAUAGGGCGUGGUGCUGGAUAACGUCCAGCGGGGGUGACCCCAGGGAAAGUGCCACAGAGAGAAGUCCGCCUGCCGAAGCCUCGGCAAAGGCAGGUAAGGGUGAAAGGGUGAGGUAAGAGCUCACCGGGUCUGCCGGUGACGGUGGAUGCCAGGUAAACCCCACCAGGAGCAAGGCCAAAUAGGGGAGCGUUAAGGGCGGCCCGCCCGUGCUUCCGGGUUGGCUGCUGGAGGCCGUCGGUAACGGCGGUCCUAGAUGAAUGAUCAUCGUUGCUUCGUGGGUAACCAUGAGGCGGAACAGAACCCGGCUUACGGUCUGCUUCGGCCA